GCGGCUCAGUGGUGGAACAUCUGCUUUGCAUGCAGAAGGCCCCAGGUUGCUGGACUCCUGCCUAAAACCCUAGGGGAACCA
Molecule: non-coding RNA, 81 nt
Organism: Podarcis lilfordi (Lilford's wall lizard)
Lineage: Eukaryota; Metazoa; Chordata; Lepidosauria; Squamata; Lacertidae
Source: the annotation of a GenBank genome assembly